Molecule: non-coding RNA, 4057 nt
Organism: Delphinapterus leucas (beluga whale)
Lineage: Eukaryota; Metazoa; Chordata; Mammalia; Artiodactyla; Monodontidae
Source: RefSeq, a predicted model, not a curated record
GGACCAGGGCUCGAAGCCGUGUCCCCUGCACUAGCAUGUAGAUUCUUACACUGCGCCACCAGGGAAACCUUCAACUAUUCUUAACACUUAGUUUCUGAAAACUGUUUCUUCUAGAAAACAUCUAACUCAAAUUAAUGUAAAGACUAUUAAAAUAACUUAUAGGAUGUAUGUUGUAGUACAGUGUAGAUAUUUCAUAAGCUAGAGGAUUAUCUUUUAAAAAUUAUUAUGUAGGUCACAUGAAUGGAAAAAAGCAACAUUACUUUUAUUGACCUGGUAGAGCAUAGGUUGUCCUAUCACUCUACCCCCAAACUCUACAAAGCCUUUUGUUUCUACACAGUGAAUUGCAUACAUGGUGUUGGGAAUUAUUGGUCAAAAAUAAGUUUGUGGCAGAAAAACCAGAGUUGGCCUAUUUGUCUUCAGAAGAAGCAGAGGAGAGGUGGUAGAUGUGUUCCUGGGUACAUUGGCCAAGGGCAUCAAGAAGCAAAGAAGGCAGUGUCACUAGAGUCUGCCGGAGCAGCAUCAUGACUUGUCCUCAUCAGCUGACAGCUAUCUGAUCCUUAGGGGCCCUGAUAAUGGUGCUCUUGAUGAGAAGGAAGAAUGUCCUCAAGCAGAUCGAGAAGCAGGAGUAACGUGGCUGGAUUUCCUGCAUCACGAGACUAUACCUCCUUCAUUAAAUGACUUGUAGAAACCGUGGACGAUGAUGACCUGACCUACCACAGGGACCUUUCAACACAGGGCCUCUUAUUCUUGACAAAGAUUGAUUCUCGUACAUGGGCUGGCCCUUCUGUGCCUGGUAUGCCAGACCCUUUAAUGGAGAGAGGUGGAAAAGCCUCAGAAGCCAAGUUGGUGGGAGUCUUAAUUCUUGAGAGAAAGGGUGACAUACUCUUGCUGACUCUGUCUUUUCUUCCCCUAAAGCUGUUUUAAUUAUGUCGUAACCCAAGGUUAAUUCCUCAUGCAAAAGAGAAAAGGAUUUUGUUACCCUUGUACCCAUAGAACACCUCGAAGUGGACCGAGGAUGAAAUUCUGAUUGGAUUCGUUUUCUUGGGUAGCAGACCUAGUCAGGAACCACUAACCUCAAAGAUGUACAUACAAGGAUGCUUUAAAAGUGGAAACAACACUGGCAGCUAGAUAAAAAUGUUUAUACUACACCUAAAUACCUGAAAUUAAGUGAGGUUUUUAAGGGUUGGUGCAUCCUUUCCCAGUAAGGUUAUCACAUAUCUGUCAAGGAAACUGAGGAGAGGUUAUUUUGGAACUUUAUCCUGCACUUAGAUUUUCAGAGAUUUUGCCCACCAAGAACUGUAUAACUCAUUUGGGAAAUAAUUUGUUUUUCUGUUUACUAAUCGGAUUUACCUACAUCUGCCAUAAGAUAGCAUAAAUGUUUAGUGAAAUGACUUGAGUUUUAACUUGCUUGAGCCAGAUAGACGUGAAUGUGUGAUUUCCUCAGAUUUUCUGAGAUGUUGAAAAUGACCUCCCCGCCACCUUCCGCCGUCGUGGAAUCUCAUUGGGAAGUCUUGUUUCUGAGACGCCAAACCCAGCCAGAAGGUCAUCCAGUUUGAAAAGGUCAUCAGGCUUGAGUACUGUAACAUCCCAGUGGGAGGGAAAGGGCUUUCCUAUGCUGGGUAACCUGCACAGGGCCCGGGGGCAAGGUCUGAGGAUGCCAAGAGGGUGUCCACUUUCACCCCGAUUCCCUCCAUGUCUGUGCUAUCUCUAAGGCAGGCCUGGGAGAGAUGGGCUAGACUCUGUUUUUGUUAAUGUGCCUACUCUGGUUCUCAGGUUACUUCAUUGGGCAUUUGGAAGUGAGUUCCAUGGCUGUUUGUUAAGGGCCUUCAGCCUCUGUGGGAACGUCACGGUGCAGCCAGCCUGCCCAGGGGUUAAUGUGCUAUUGACGGCAUCGCCUUGUUGACUCUCUGCAGAUGUUGGAUCCUGUCCUCUAAGCCCGGGGACCCCUUUGGUGUCAGAUGGGCCCAUGGCAAUGACCCCAGAGCAGCCCACCCUCAGGAGUGACAGGGACCCGGGUCCUCUCCCUGUCCCAUCAUCCUUUGGGGAACUCUUUCUAACCAACAAGGGUUAGAAUCCCCCCUUUCCUCGAUUGUGCAAUAGAUAAACUAAUGACUUAAAUAAGUAAAUAAUGAAGUCAUAGACUUGUUACAAGUGAUUAUGCAACUUUUGUCAUUAAAGAGAUGAUUCACCAAGGCACUCCAAGCAUUCAUUAAUUGCCGCAUAAAUUGAUUUUUGUUUUUAAGUCAAAUGCACUGGUGAACAUAUUUGUGAGGGGAGGCAGGUGAUAUGACCCAGAGAGGCCCUGUCCCAGUUGGAGCUCCCCAGAGACCAGGCCUGGGAGCUGCCAAGCUGGGGGCUGAGCAGAGCAGCCAGCAGCGAGCUGGGCUCCCUCCCCAUCGGCCCCUGGGUGCUUGGAAGGCUGCCUGUCUCUUCCUGGCAGUGCUCCAGCCUUCUGGCGGGCGAGGCGUGGUCGCCCCCUCAGCGGCCCCGGCUCCUGCCCCUGGGGCUGGAGAUAAGUCUGGCCGCAUCUCCCCACUGGGAACUCAGCCAAGCCAGCUGUUUCCCACAGCCCCUCCCUGACUCACCCUGCCUCUGCCCAGCCAGUUUCUCACACGACAAGCCCCUCCCUCCCAGAAUGUGUUGCUCCAGGAUUCUGUCUCUGGCUGGUGGGGGCCGGGGACCUGCUUCUUGCCUCCAUCUCCCUGAGGUUUGAUGUUCCUGUGGCUCCCUCCCCAACACACUCCUUCUUCAUUAUUCUCAGAGCAGACGGCCUUUGUCUGCAGACUGGCUCUCUGGACAGGGAGGCUGGCAGAGGAAACUGUCUCAUGCACCCUGAUGCCUCUGAGCCAGACCAAUGUGGGCACCUUCACAUAGACCACAGAGGUGUGCCUUCUGCCCAGCCACCCAAACCCUCCUGCUGCCAGGUGUGGGGACGCGCUGGCCGGAGUGGUAAGAGGGAGCUGGGUGCAUGCACUCACCCACCCAUCUGGGGCUCCUGGAAACUGCUCAGUAAAUGUUUGGUGAAUACAUGAAGUAAAUGGGUGGAUUAGGGGUCCACAGGAGGGGAUUUCCGUGCAGGAUGAUAUAAACAGGGCACAUGUGUGGGAACAUGUUUUAAGUAAGAACAAACAUUAACCACUUUGCCCUUGUUUACAAGGCUGUGCUGGAGUUGGUGGAGCCGGAGGUCAGUUGGCCUUAUCUGCUUAAGAGACCCAGUAUUAAAAAAAAAAAAAAAAAAAGAGACCCAGUAUUUAUAAACAGGUGGUCGGGGUUGAAUCCACACAGAAUUACUCCUCAGGGAGCACUUGUGACAUCUUGAGAAAUACAUGGGUUUGUCCUCGGCCAGUGUCACCAUGUUGAAUGAAGGAGGAAUAAAGGGUGGUACAGUUCUUAAUACUUCUUACCCCUCAUUUAACCAAGAAAAGCCCCAGAGGAACGUACUUGCCCCAUAAAACCAACGUCCAUUGAGCAUUUACUAUUAACAUGCCAAGACCCUACACUGAGCCCAUCACAAGCAUUGUCUCAGGUCAUCCUCACCUCACCCGUGAGUAGGGUUAUCCUCAUUUUACAGGUGAGAAAAUGGAAGCUUCGAGAAGAUGAAUAACAGUCCCAGACGCAUACAGCAAGAAAGUGGGAGGGGCUGCCCCAGGCCUGUGCUUCUUACCUCCAGGACAGAGGGCACUGUGAGUUGGAUCACCUCUCUGGGCCUCCGGUUUCUCUUCUGUAAAGGCAGACAGCAUUUCUCAAAUUUUCUACCUAAAGCUGCUCAAGCAACAGAGGAACGUGAGAGACCCUGAGGGUCCUGGGCACAGCCCAGAGUGGCAGCCACGGGCAGAAAUGUCUCUGGAGUUUUAAGAAAACAAAAGUUGUAAUUCUAUUUCAUAAUGCAUUUCGUUGUUGUUUUAUUCUGGUAAAAUACACAUGACAUAAAGUUUACCAUCUUAAUCACUUUUUUUUGUUUGUUUUUUGGCCGUGCCGUGAGGCUUGCGGGAUCUCAGUUCCCUGACCAGGAAUUGAACCCGGGCCAUGGCAGUGAAAGGCCAGAAUCCUAACUACG